RNAcentral lists this unclassified non-coding RNA (701 nucleotides) under Rhodotorula toruloides. The record is from RNAcentral. Lineage: Eukaryota; Fungi; Basidiomycota; Microbotryomycetes; Sporidiobolales; Sporidiobolaceae.
AGGAGUCCUUCUCGCCUCCUCGACCUGCCUCUCUCUGCUGGAUCGUCUCGACUCGACUCCCGGGGCCGUGUGGAGGGUUGCUAGUACAUCAGGCGGGCUCAAAAACGGGCUGAGGACAAGCGUUCUCGCGCGGAAGCCCUCAUUUCCGCAUGCUACGGAUACAGGCGUACACGUCGAGCAGCUCUCCGUGCCUCUGCUUCCUCGAAGCUUGUCCUUGCGUCGAGAUGAUGGCUUAUCCCGCCCCGAUAGCCUCGACCGAGCUGGCUCGUCACGGCAAGACCUGCCUGAGGAGCAUUCGUUCGCCCACCGUGCUGCCUGAGACCAUCUGCGCCCGUCCACGCCAGUCGCACCUGCCCGCGGCGCCAAUGAAGCCGCCGCUCAAAACGCCCUUCCGACCUCGCCAUUGCGCCUCGGACAAUCCAGACGCUCGCUCUCGCUGCGCUGGCAAUUCGGAUGCCCGAUCGGAGCUGCUAGAGGACCUACUGACGAGCUGCUGGCGCUGUCUACAGCAAGAUUGACCAUCGGCACCUCGUCCGAUUCGGCGCUACUUUUGUCUGCUACCAGCCACUCUGAGUUGCAUGACAUCGCGCGGUGGUUCUGAAGCGUCGGACGGCACAAGCAGGAGACGACGCUCAAGAACAUAUUGCGGUCGCGUAGUCGGGUGCGGAGGGCGACGAGCGGGCUGGAAGCGACGAGAUACG